CCACAGGGUAUUUCACUGCCCAAAACCGCCACUACCUACAAUUCACUGUCUCCAAGGAUACAGUGAAUGUAUCCUUGAAUACUGAAUUCCAUACAGCAUACUAUGGAACACUCAGAAAAGCCAUAUUCUAUAAAGGAAUGAUGUCUUGAACUGCAGAAUUUUAUGAAUCAGUCAGCCUGAAAGAAGGACUAUAUGGGUCCGAGAGGGAUUUUAUACUUCUGACCACAGCAAAUAAGUGACUAUCUAAAGUCAGUACCAGCAUAUUCCUAUAAGAAGGGGCAGAAAUUGUUUAUAUCUAUGAUGUGAUGCCAGUAGUAUAGCAGCCAUCUUGCAACCAUGAAGCAACAGCAUGAGCGUGAAAGCUGGUGCAUUAAGGAUGAUGGAGCAGAAUAAUGAAGGCCAGAUGCCUAAUGGCAUUGCAGAACAGCUGAAACAAUACCAGCAACUAGCUGGUAAAUAUGUCUUAAACCCAGCAAAUAUGUCUCUCUCAUUAUGUGAGAAAAAUAAACACAAUGUUUGAGCUACUCUCA
Molecule: non-coding RNA, 530 nt
Organism: Microcebus murinus (gray mouse lemur)
Lineage: Eukaryota; Metazoa; Chordata; Mammalia; Primates; Cheirogaleidae
Source: RefSeq, a predicted model, not a curated record